Molecule: long non-coding RNA, 44165 nt
Filed under: Xyrichtys novacula (pearly razorfish)
Lineage: Eukaryota; Metazoa; Chordata; Actinopteri; Labriformes; Labridae
Source: RNAcentral
CUUAUAACUUUUUAUUUUUGUCCCCACUGGCCUCCAAGUUUUCUAGGAUGAUGCAAUGUCCAGCCAUCAACACAUUUGUGAAGGAAUUUUUACUCGGCAAAAGAGCGCCCCCCCAUGGCAGGAGAAAAAAGUCAAUUUUUUCUUGUCCACUAAGGUGAAAAUACACAUUGUUGAGUGCUACGCCUGUAUGUUUUGUCGUAUUGACACAAAAUUUUACAUACACGUGUAUUUCAAUAAGAUCUUCGAAAAAGUCAGUGGCCACGUAUCUGUAAAAUGUACAGUUAAAGGGUUAUUUCGCAUUUUUUGCAGAUUCGCACACAUUGGAAUUUCGCUAAUUCCUCCGAAGGCUUUCGUUCCACCGGCACCACAUUUGCUCAGGCCAAUCUACACCCCAUGGCCAUUAAAAGUUAUUCAAAUCAUGACGCUGCACCCCACGGUUUAGGUUCUAGGGGGCGCCAAAUAUAACCCUAAAAUCCACAUAUUUAAAAGUCUUAUAACUUUUUAUUUUUGUCCUCACUGGCCUCCAUGUUUUCUAGGAUGAUGCAAUGUCCAGCCAUCAACACAUUUGUGAAGGAGUUUUUUCUCUUUAAAAGAGCGCCCCCCAUGGCAGGAGAAUAAAGUCAAGUUUUUCCUGUUCAUCAUUCAAUGGCUCAAACGCACUGCUCUCUCGGCAAAAGCGAAAGGAGGAGCAACUUGCCAUUUGGAUAUAUCUUAGCUGUGUUUGUGCCCUCACUCAUGGUCCAGACUUUUUUCAAAUAGGACAUGGAGUUUUUCUGCAGCGAGCGUUUUGGUAGAAACUGCGCCUCCCGUUCAUUAUAAUGGUAAAUGACCACAAACAAGUGUGCACACCAUCUUUGGACCUUGAGUGUGACGCGAUCGGGUGGGGGAGGCGGUCGCGCUGGGGGCGGCGUGACACGGCUCGGGCCCGCCAGUGCCCCAACGGGGCCCUAGUUUCUUUCUUUCUUCUUUUUCCUCCCCUUUGAACUGGAAAAUGGCCCACUUCCCACUGGCGAAAACUCAUGAAAUUUGGCAGGAUGACCGGGCCUGGUGAAAAAUUUGAUAUUCCGAAGUCGCCCAAACAAGAAAAUGCAAAAUGGCUCCAUAGCGCCCCCUAAGGUGAAAAUUCACACUAUUGACGGUCACGCCUUUACGCUUUGUCAUAUUGACACAAAAAUUGACACACACAUGUAUCUCAAUAAGAUCUACAAAAAAGUCAGUGCGGGCAUAUCUGUCAAAUGUACGGUUAAAGGGUUAUUCCGCAUUUUUUGCCGAUCCGCACACAUUGGAAUUUCGCUAACUCCUCCGAAGGCUUUCGUUCCACCGGCACCACAUUUGCUCAGGCCAAUCUACACCCCAUGGCCAUUAAAAGUUAUUCAAAUCAUGACGCUGCACCCCACGGUUUAGGUUCUAGGGGGCGCCAAAGAUAACCCUAAAAUCCACAUAUUUAAAAGUCUUAUAACUUUUUAUUUUUGCCCUCACUGGCCUCCAAGUUUUCUAGGAUGAUGCAAUGUCCAGCCAUCAACACAUUUGUGAAGGAAUUUUUAAUCCCCAAAAGAGCGCCCCCCCAUGGCAGGAGAAAAAAGUCCAUUUUUUCUUGUCCCCUAAGGUGAAAAUACACAUUGUUGAGUGUCACGCCUGUACGCUUUGUCAUAUUGACACAAAAUUUGACACACACAUGUAUCUCAAUAAGAUCUACGAAAAAGUCAAUGCGCGCGUAUCUGUCAAAUGUACGGUUAAAGGGUUAUUCCGCAUUUUUUGCUGAUCCGCACACAUUGGAAUUUCGCUAACUCCUCCUAAGGCUGGCGUUCCACCGGCACCACAUUUGCUCAGGCCAAUCUACACCCCAUGGCCAUUAAAAGUUAUUCAAAUCAUGACGCUAGACCCCACGGUUUAGGUUCUAGGGGGCGCCAAAGAUAACCCUAAAAUCCACAUAUUUCAAAGUCUUAUAACUUUUUAUUUUUGCCCUCACUGGCCUCCAAAUUUUCUAGGAUGAUGCAAUGUCCAGCCAUCAACACAUUUGUGAAGGAAUUUUUAAUCCCCAAAAGAGCGCCCCCCCAUGGCAGGAGAAAAAAGUCCAUUUUUUCUUGUCCCAUAAGAUGAAAAAACACAUUGUUGACUGUCAUACCUGUACGCUUUGUCAUAUUGACACAAAAUUUGACAAUCACAUGUAUCUCAAUAAGAUCUACGAAAAAGUCAAUGCGCGCGUAUCUGUAAAAUGUACGGUUAAAGGGCUAUUUUGCAUUUUUUGCCGAUUCGCACACAUUGGAAUGUGGCUAACUCCUCCUAAGGCUUUCGUCCCACUGACACCAAAUUUGCUCAGGCCAAUCUACACCCCAUGGCCAUUCAAAGUUGUAAAAAUCAUGACGCUGCACCCCACGGUUUACGUUCUAGGGGGCGCCAAAGAUGACCCAAAUAUCCACAUUCUUAAAAGAAUCCACAUCCCCCAUCCCCCAACCCCCAUGGCAGGAGAAACAGUCAAGUUUUUCCUGCCCAUCACUCAAUGGCUCAAUCGCAUCACUCUCCCGGCAACACCGUAACGAGGAGCAACUUGCCGUUUGGAUAUAUCCUAGCUGUGUUUGUGCCCUCACUCAUGGUCCAGACUUUUUUCAAAUAGGACAUGUAGUUUGUCUGCAGCGAGUGUUUUGGUAGAAACUGCGCCUCCCAUUCAUUAUAAUGGGAAAUGACCACAGACAAGUGCGCACACCAUCUUUGGACCUUGAGUGUGACGCGAUCGGGAGGGGGAGGCGGUCGCGCUGGGGGCGGCGCAACGCGGCUCGGGCCCGACAGUGCCCCACCGGGGCCCUAGUUAGGGCCCGAGCGUAGCUGCUAAGCAGCUGCGAGAGCCCUCUUGUUCCUGUAGUUUCCUUCUUUUUAGGGCCCGAGCGUAGCUGCUAAGCAGCUGCGAGAGCCCUCUUGUUCCUGUAGUUUCCUUCUUUUUAGGGCCCGAGCGUAGCUGCUAAGCAGCUGCGAGAGCCCUAUUAUUCCCCAAGGGGUUUUUUAGGGCCCGAGCCAGCUGCAGAGCAGCCGGGCGUAGGCCCUAUUAUUCCCCAAGUGGUUUUUUAGGGCCCGAGCGUAGCUGCUAAGCAGCUGCGAGAGCCCUAUUAUUCCCCAAGUGGUUUUUCUUUGUUUCUUUUUAGGGCCCGAGCCAGCUGCAGAGCAGCCGGGCGUAGGCCCUAUUAUUCCCCAAGUGGUUUUUCUUUGUUUCUUUCUUUCUUUCUUUCUUUCUUCUUUUUCCUCCCCUUUGAACUGGAAAAUGGCCCACUUCCCACUGGCGAAAACUCAUGAAAUUUGGCAGGACGACCGGGCCUGGUGAAAAAUUCGAUAUUCUGAAGUCACCCAAACAAUAAAAUGCAAAAUGGCUCCAUAGCGCCCCCUAAGGUGGAAAUUCACACUAUUGACUGUCACGCCUGUACGCUUUGUCAUAUUGACACAAAAAUUGACACACAUAUGUAUCUCAAUAAGAUCUACAAAAAAGUCAGUGCGGCCGUAUCUGUCAAAAUUACGGUUAAAGGGUUAUUUCGCAUUUUUUUCCGAUCCGCACACAUUGGAAUUUCGCUAACUCCUCCGAAGGCUUUCGUUCCACCGGCACCACAUUUGCUCAGGCCAAUCUACACCCCGUGGCCAUUAAAAGUUAUCAAAAUCAUGACGCUGCACCCCAAGGUUUAGGUUCUAGGGGGCGCCAAAGAUAACACUAAAAUCCACAUAUUUAAAAGUCUUAUAACUUUUUAUUUUUGUCCUCACUGGCCUCCAAGUUUUCUAGGAUGAUGCAAUGUCCAGCCAUCAACACAUUUGUGAAGGAAUUUUUACUCCCCAAAAGAGCGCCCCCCCAUGGCAGGAGAAAAAAGUCCAAUUUUUCUUGUCCCCUAAGGUGAAAAUACACAUUGUUCAGUGUCACGCCUACACGCUUUGUCAAAAUGACACAAAAAUUGACACACACAUGUAACUCAAUAAGAUCUACGAAAAAGUCAAUGCGCGCGUAUCUGUCAAAUGUACGGUUAAAGGGUUAUCUCGCAUUUUUUGCCGAUCCGCACACAUUGGAAUUUCGCUAACUCCUCCGAAGGCUUUCGUUCCACCGGCACCACAUUUGCUCAGGCCAAUCUACACCCCGUGGCCAUUAAAAGUUAUCAAAAUCAUGACGCUGCACCCCAAGGUUUAGGUUCUAGGGGGCGCCAAAGAUAACACUAAAAUCCACAUAUUUAAAAGUCUUAUAACUUUUUAUUUUUGUCCUCACUGGCCUCCAAGUUUUCUAGGAUGAUGCAAUGUCCAGCCAUCAACACAUUUGUGAAGGAAUUUUUACUCCCCAAAAGAGCGCCCCCCCAUGGCAGGAGAAAAAAGUCCAUUUUUUCUUGUCCCCUAAGGUGAAAAUACACAUUGUUGAGUGUCACGCCUAUACGCUUUGUCAAAAUGACACAAAAAUUGACACACACAUGUAACUCAAUAAGAUCUACGAAAAAGUCAAUGCGCGCGUAUCUGUCAAAUGUAUGGUUAAAGGGUUUUUUCGCAUUUUUUGCCGAUCCGCACACAUUGGAAUGUGGCUAACUCCUCCUAAGGCUUUCAUUCCACCGGCACCACAUUUGCUCAGGCCAAUCUACACCCCAUGGCCAUUAAAAGUUAUUCAAAUCAUGACGCUGCACCCCACGGUUUAGGUUCUAGGGGGCGCCAAAGAUAACCCUAAAAUCCACAUAUUUAAAAGUUUUAUAACUUUUUAUUUUUGUCCUCACUGGCCUCCAAGUUUUCUAGGAUGAUGCAAUGUCCAGCCAUCAACACAUUUGUGAAGGAAUUUUUACUCCCCAAAAGAGCGCCCCCCCAUGGCAGGAGAAAAAAGUCAAUUUUUUCUUGUCCCCUAAGGUGAAAAUACAUAUUGUUGAGAUUCACGCCUAUACGCUUUGUCAUAUUGACACAAAAUUUGACAAUCACGUGCCUUGCCUGGUAUCAUUUUUUUCAGCACAACCUCACCUGUGCGAAUUUACAGUUAUUUUAUCAUGUUGACAUACUGAAUUUACACAAUGGACCCAAAUUCACACACAAAACAUAAAAUCCGAGUGGAAAAAGUAACAUUUUUACUGUGAAAACCACAAAUAUGUGUGAUGAACUGUUUUUAAAACUUAAACUUCAAAUAAAAAUUGUAAACUUCAAAACAUAUGCAAAUUUUUAACAAAGAACAUAGUGAUUUACCUCUAUUUACAUCAAAAUGCAGGCAAUGGCCCAGGCGUUCUUUGUAAAAUUAUUUACAAAACACUGUAUAGUCUCACAAAUGUCACUUUUUAUUUAUGCCACUACAAAAAAACAUGAUGUAAAUGAUGCAUGAUGUAAAACAUGAUGUAAAAAACUUGUGUAGAUCCUCCUCUAUGUCAGUCCAUGUGUAAUUUUUCCAUAAUUCUUUGUUUUUUGCAGCAUUUUUGUUAGUGUAACUGCAGAUUGUGCUGACAGUGUCUAUGGCACAAAAAAAAAAAAAAUUUAAAAUGCCUCAACAUGAACCCCUGGUGGUCUCUGAGGGUGAAACCUGCUAACUGCUGCAGCUCUGUCAGCUUCAGUCUCCCAUGCAGAGCUCUGAGCGCAUGUGUGGCUCUGCACCCUUAGCAGCGUUGCUAACUCCUCAGUAAGGAAAGCCUGCUUCAUGUCAGAGUCUCUAAACUCCAGAAGAAGUCGAUAAAAGUCCCUUUCUUUCUAAAAAAAAGUCGUUAGGGGGUCUGAAAAGUCAUUGAAUCUAACAACAAAGUCGCUAGGUUUGCAACUACGUGUCCCAGACUGCAUCCCUGCUGAGAGUCCCUCCCUCGCUUCUCAUGUUGCAGGAAGAACGUAAGCACCCGCCCCUUGUCAAUCAGUCACCAUAUAAUUUUGGAUUGGUUGUUGUGGUGAAGUUUUCCACCAAUAGGAGAGAUGUUGUGGUGUGUUUUUUUCUUUUGGCAAGCCUUUUCCGCCUGUAAGACCUGUCGCUAAUGUCUGCAUGCUAUGUUUUCCUGUCUCAUACAGCGCGAUCGAGCGCCGAACGUGAUCAAAAUAAGCAGAAAAAAAGUAUCGCGGACAUAAUUUAUCAUAACUCUGGUUUUAUUUGGCCUAUCAACACAAUUUAAAAACUGGUAUAUAGGUUGAGGUCCUCACUUUUGAGAUAAGUUGAAACGGAGAGUCAACGAGGCUCCGUCUUGCAGCUACAUCCGGUUAAAUAUGUCAUGUGACUUGAACGCACACACAGACACACACACACGCACACACACACACACACACACACACACACACACACACACACACACACACACACACACUCAGAGUCUGGUUUUUAGCACCUGCAAAAACAUGCUAUUUACAUAUUUGACAAGAAUGCAGAGGCUCCUUUUGCCCCUGAAAAAAAUCAAAUUUCAAACACAACUUGACUGCUCAAUUCUCCAAAAGACAACCAUGAAGCUCCAUCCAAACCUGAAGCAGGCAGUUGGUGCAUGUGUACAGUAACCUGAGGGGAGUGAGGUGAGUGCUUCUGAGGAGAACAUGAGCAGUGAAGAUUCACCUUGGAGCUAGAACAGAGACAUGCACAUGAUUAUACAGGGGCAGGGGCUCAAGUUUUUUCCAGUCGUUUAUACAAUAUGGAAAUUAAUGUGAAAUUAAAACACAAAGUAUUAAUAGAAAGGUUAUGACUGUCCUGUGUAGGUGACAGUGAUAUCCAAUAGGCUAGGCACUCACGAGGCUGGCUGUGGCAAGUGUAAGUGAAAGCAACACGCACUGGCAAGAAGAACAGCAAACGCCGAUGAAGGAAAAGGGUCUUUGCAGUGAUGGGCGUUACCAGAGAGGGCGAUGGCCAGAGGACACAAAUGGGACGGGGAGGCAGCACGUUGGGGGGGGACGCGACACGGCUCGGGCCCGCCAGUGCCCCAACGGGGUCCUAGUUUCUUUUUUCUCCCCUUUGAACUGGAAAAUGGCCCACUUCCCACUGGCGAAAACUCAUGAAAUUUGGCAGGACGACCGGGCCUGGUGAAAAAUUUGAUAUUCUGAAGUCGCCCAAACAAUACAAUGCAAAAUGGCUCCAUAGCGCCCCCUAAGGUGAAAAAUUCACCUGACGCCUGUACGCUUUGUCAAAAUGACACAAAAAUUGACACACACAUGUAUCUCAAUAAGAUCUACAAAAAAGUCAGUGCGGGCGUAUCUGUCAAAUGUACGGUUAAAGGGUUAUUGCGCAUUUUUUGCCGAUCCGCACACAUUGGAAUUUCGCUAACUCCUCCGAAGGCUUUCGUUCCACCGGCACCACAUUUGCUCAGGCCAAUCUACACCCCAUGGCCAUAAAAAGUUAUUCAAAUCAUGACGCUGCACCCCACGGUUUAGGUUCUAGGGGGCGCCAAAGAUAACCCUAAAAUCCACAUAUUUCAAAGUCUUAUAACUUUUUAUUUUUGUCCUCACUGGCCUCCAAGUUUUCUAGGAUGAUGCAAUGUCCAGCCAUCAACACAUUUGUGAAGGAAUUUUUACUCCCCAAAAGAGCGCCCCCCAUGGCAGGAGAAAAAAGUCCAUUUUUUCUUGUCCCCUAAGGUGAAAAUACACAUUGUUGAGUGUCACGCCUAUACGCUUUGUCAAAAUGACACAAAAUUUGACACACACAUGUAACUCAAUAAGAUCUACAAAAAAGUCAAUGCGCGCGUAUCUGUCAAAUGUACAGUUAAAGGGUUAUUCCGCAUUUUUUGCCGAUACGCACACAUUGGAAUUUCGCUAACUCCUCCGAAGGCUUUCGUUCCACCGGCACCACAUUUGCUCAGGCCAAUCUACACCCCAUGGCCAUUAAAAGUUAUUCAAAUCAUGAUGCUGCACCCCAUGGUUUAGGUUCUAGGGGGCGCCAAAAAUAACCCAAAAAUCCACAUUCUUAAAUGUUUUAUAACUUUUUAUUUUUGUCCUCACUGGCCUCCAAGUUUUCUAGGAUGAUGCAAUGUCCAGCCAUCAACACAUUUGUGAAGGAAUUUUUACUCCCCAAAAGAGCGCCCCCCAUGGUAGGAGAAAAAAGUCAAUUUUUUCUUGUCCCCUUACAUGAAAAUACACAUUGUUGAGUGUCACGCCUGAACGCUUUGUCAUAUUGACACAAAAAUUGACAAUCAUGUGUAUCUCAAUUAGAUCUACGAAAAAGUCAAAGAGCGCGUAUCUGUAUAAUGUACGGUUAAAGGGCUAUUUUGCAUUUUUGCGGAUUCGCACACAUUGGAAUGUGGCUAUCUCCUCCUAAGGCUUUCGUCCCACCGAUACCAAAUUUGCUCAGGGCAAUCUACACCCCAUGCCCAUUCAAAGUUGUAAAAAUCAUGACGCUGCACCCCACGGUUUACGUUCUAGGGGGCGCCAAAGAUGACCCAAAAAUCCACAUUCUUAAAAGUCAUUUUGGCCACUGCAGGAGUACAGAGUACUGCAGUUCUAGGGGGCGCCAAAGAUGACCCAAAAAUCCACAUUCUUAAAAGUCUUUUUGGCCACUGCAGGAGUACAGAGUACUGCAGGAUACACACACAUAUACACACACGCCAACAUACACACACACACACACACACACAGACACACACACACACUCAGAGUCUGUUUUUUAGCACCUGCAAAAACAUGCUGUUUACAUAUUUGACAAGAAUGCAGAGGCUUCCUUUUGCCCCUGAAAAAAAUCAAAUUUCAAACACAACUUGACUGUUCAUUUCUCCAAAAGACAACCAUGAAGCUCCAUUUCAAACCUGAAGCAGAUAGUUGGUGCAUGUGUACAGUAACCUGAGGGGAGUGAGGUGACUAUUUCUGAGGAGAACAUGAGCAGUGAAGAUUCACCUUGGAGCUAGAACAGGGACGUGCACAUGAUUAUACAGGGGCAGGGGCUCAAGUUUUUUCCAGUCAUUUAUACAAUAUGGAAAUUAAUGUGAAAUUAAACCACAAAUAUGUGUGAUGAACUGUUUUUAAAACUUAAACUUCAAAUAAAAAUUGUAAACUUCAAAACAUAUGCAAAUUUUUAACAAAGAACAUAGUAAUUUACCUCUAUUUACAUCAAAAUGCAGGCAAUGGCCCAGGCGUUCUUUGUAAAAUUAUUUACAAAACACUGUAUAGUCUCACAAAUGUCACUUUUUAUUUAUGCCACUACAAAAAAACAUGAUGUAAAUGAUGCAUGAUGUAAAACAUGAUGUAAAAAACUUGUGUAGAUCCUCCUCUAUGUCAGUCCAUGUGUAAUUUUUCCAUAAUUCUUUGUUUUUUGCAGCAUUUUUGUUAGUGUAACUGCAGAUUGUGCUGACAGUGUCUAUGGCACAAAAAAAAAAAAAAAAUUAAAAUGCCUCAACAUGAACCCCUGGUGGUCUCUGAGGGUGAAACCUGCUAACUGCUGCAGCUCUGUCAGCUUCAGUCUCCCAUGCAGAGCUCUGAGCGCAUGUGUGGCUCUGCACCCUUAGCAGCGUUGCUAACUCCUCAGUAAGGAAAGCCUGCUUCAUGUCAGAGUCUCUAAACUCCAGAAGAAGUCGAUAAAAGUCCCUUUCUUUCUAAAAAAAGUCGUUAGGGGGUCUGAAAAGUCAUUGAAUCUAACAACAAAGUCGCUAGGUUUGCAACUACGUGUCCCAGACUGCAUCCCUGCUGAGAGUCCCUCCCUCCCUUCUCAUGUUGCAGGAAGAACGUAAGCGCCCGCCCCUUGUCAAUCAGUCACCAUAUAAUUUUGGAUUGGUUGUUGUGGUGAAGUUUUCCACCAAUAGGAGAGAUGUUGUGGUGUGUUUUUUUUUUCUUUUGGCAAGCCUUUUCCGCCUGUAAGACCUAUCGCUAAUGUCUGCAUGCUAUGUUUUCCUGUCUCAUACAGCGCGAUCGAGCGCCGAACGUGAUCAAAAUAAGCAGAAAACAAGUAUCGCGGACAUAAUUUAUCAUAACUCUGGUUUUAUUUGGCCUAUCAACACAAUUUAAAAACUGGUAUAUAGGUUGAGGUCCUCACUUUUGAGAUAAGUUGAAACGGAGAGUCAACAAGGCUCCGUCUUGCAGCUACAUCCGGUUAAAUAUGUCAUGUGACUUGAACGCACACACAGACACACACACACGCACACACACACACACACACACACACACACACACUCAGAGUCUGGUUUUUAGCACCUGCAAAAACAUGCUAUUUACAUAUUUGACAAGAAUGCAGAGGCUCCUUUUGCCCCUGAAAAAAAUCAAAUUUCAAACACAACUUGACUGGUCAUUUCUCCAAAAGACAACCAUGAAGCUCCAUCCAAACCUGAAGCAGGCAGUUGGUGCAUGUGUACAGUAACCUGAGGGGAGUGAGGUGAGUGCUUCUGAGGAGAACAUGAGCAGUGAAGAUUCACCUUGGAGCUAGAACAGAGACAUGCACAUGAUUAUACAGGGGCAGGGGCUCAAGUUUUUUCCAGUCGUUUAUACAAUAUGGAAAUUAAUGUGAAAUUAAAACACAAAGUAUUAAUAGAAAGGUAAUGACUGUCCUGUGUAGGUGACAGUGAUAUCCAAUAGGCUAGGCACUCACGAGGCUGGCUGUGGCAAGUGUAAGUGAAAGCAACACACACUGGCAGGAAGAACAGCAAACGCCGAUUAAGGAAAAGGGUCUUUGCAGUGAUGGGUGUUAACAGAGAGGGCGAUGGCCAGAGGACACAAAUGGGACGGGGAGGCAGCACGUUGGGGGGGGGGGACGCGACACGGCUCGGGCCCGCCAGUGCCCCAACGGGGUCCUAGUCUUUGUUUCUUUCUUUAGGGCCCGAGCGUAGCUGCUAAGCAGCUGCGAGAGCCCUCUUGUUCCUGCAUGUUUCCUUCUUUCGUUAUUAUUUUUCCUCCGCUUUAAACUGGAAAAUGGCCCACUUCCCACUGGCGAAAACUCAGGAAAUUUGGCAGGACGACCGGGCCUGGUGAAAAAUUCGAUAUUCUGAAGUCGCCCAAACAAUAAAAUGCAAAAUGGCUCCAUAGCGCCCCCUAAGGUGAAAAUUCACAUGACGGCUGUACGCUUUGUCAUAUUGACACAAAAAUUGACACACACAUGUAUCUCAAUAAGAUCUACAAAAAAGUCAGUGCGGGCGUAUCUGUCAAAUGUACGGUUAAUGGGUUAUUUUGCAUUUUUUGCAGAUCUGCACACAUUGGAAUUUCGCUAACUCCUCCGAAGGCUUUCGUUCGACCGGCACCACAUUUGCGCAGGCCAAUCUACCCCCCAUGGCCAUUAAAAGUUGUACAAAUCAUGACGCUGCACCCCACGGUUUACGUUCUAGGGGGCGCCAAAGAUAACCCAAAAUCCACAUUCUUAAAAGUCUUAUAACUUUUUAUUUUUGUCCUCACUGCCCUCCAAGUUUUCUAGGAUGAUGCAAUGUCCAGCCAUCAACACAUUUGUGAAGGAAUUUUUACUCCCCAAAAGAACGCCCCCCCAUGGCAGGAGAAAAAAGUCAAUUUUUUCUUGUCCCCUUACAUGAAAAUACACAUUGUUGAGUGUCACGCCUGAACGCUUUGUCAUAUUGACACAAAAAUUGACAAUCAUGUGUAUCUCAAUUAGAUCUACGAAAAAGUCAAAAGCGCGUAUCUGUAUAAUGUACGGUUAAAGGGCUAUUUCGCAUUUUUUGCCGAUUCGCACACAUUGGAAUGUGGCUAUCUCCUCCUAAGGCUUUCGUCCCACCGAUACCAAAUUUGCUCAGGGCAAUCUACACCCCAUGCCCAUUCAAAGUUGUAAAAAUCAUGACGCUGCACCCCACGGUUUACGUUCUAGGGGACGCCAAAGAUGACCCAAAGAUCCACAUUCUUAAAAGUCAUUUUGGCCACUGCAGGAGUACAGAGUACUGCAGUUCUAGGGGGCGCCAAAGAUGACCCAAAAAUCCACAUUCUUAAAAGUCUUUUUGGCCACUGCAGGAGUACAGAGUACUGCAGGAUACACACACAUAUACACACACACACACACACACACACACACACACACACACACACACACACACUCAGAGUCUGUUUUUUAGCACCUGCAAAAACAUGCUGUUUACAUAUUUGACAAGAAUGCAGAGGCUUCCUUUUGCCCCUGAAAAAAAUCAGAUUUCAAACACAACUUGACUGUUCAUUUCUCCAAAAGACAACCAUGAAGCUCCAUCCAAACCUGAAGCAGAUAGUUGGUGCAUGUGUACAGUAACCUGAGGGGAGUGAGGUGACUAUUUCUGAGGAGAACAUGAGCAGUGAAGAUUCACCUUGGAGCUAGAACAGGGACGUGCACAUGAUUAUACAGGGGCAGGGGCUCAAGUUUUUUCCAGUCAUUUAUACAAUAUGGAAAUUAAUGUGAAAUUAAACCACAAAUAUGUGUGAUGAACUGUUUUUAAAACUUAAACUUCAAAUAAAAAUUGUAAACUUCAAAACAUAUGCAAAUUUUUAACAAAGAACAUAGUAAUUUACCUCUAUUUACAUCAAAAUGCAGGCAAUGGCCCAGGCGUUCUUUGUAAAAUUAUUUACAAAACACUGUAUAGUCUCACAAAUGUCACUUUUUAUUUAUGCCACUACAAAAAAACAUGAUGUAAAUGAUGCAUGAUGUAAAACAUGAUGUAAAAAACUUGUGUAGAUCCUCCUCUAUGUCAGUCCAUGUGUAAUUUUUCCAUAAUUCUUUGUUUUUUGCAGCAUUUUUGUUAGUGUAACUGCAGAUUGUGCUGACAGUGUCUAUGGCACAAAAAAAAAAAAAAUUUAAAAUGCCUCAACAUGAACCCCUGGUGGUCUCUGAGGGUGAAACCUGCUAACUGCUGCAGCUCUGUCAGCUUCAGUCUCCCAUGCAGAGCUCUGAGCGCAUGUGUGGCUCUGCACCCUUAGCAGCGUUGCUAACUCCUCAGUAAGGAAAGCCUGCUUCAUGUCAGAGUCUCUAAACUCCAGAAGAAGUCGAUAAAAGUCACUUUCUUUCUAAAAAAAAGUCGUUAGGGGGUCUGAAAAGUCAUUGAAUCUAACAACAAAGUCGCUAGGUUUGCAACUACGUGUCCCAGACUGCAUCCCUGCUGAGAGUCCCUCCCUCGCUUCUCAUGUUGCAGGAAGAACGUAAGCGCCCUCCCCUUGUCAAUCAGUCACCAUAUAAUUUUGGAUUGGUUGUUGUGGUGAAGUUUUCCACCAAUAGGAGAGAUGUUGUGGUGUGUUUUUUUUUUCUUUUGGCAAGCCUUUUCCGCCUGUAAGACCUGUCGCUAAUGUCUGCAUGCUAUGUUUUCCUGUCUCAUACAGCGCGAUCGAGCGCCGAACGUGAUCAAAAUAAGCAGAAAAAAAGUAUCGCGGACAUAAUUUAUCAUAACUCUGGUUUUAUUUGGCCUAUCAACACAAUUUAAAAACUGGUAUAUAGGUUGAGGUCCUCACUUUUGAGAUAAGUUGAAACGGAGAGUCAACGAGGCUCCGUCUUGCAGCUACAUCCGGUUAAAUAUGUCAUGUGACUUGAAUGCACACACAGACACACACACACACACGCACACACACACACACACACUCAGAGUCUGGUUUUUAGCACCUGCAAAAACAUGCUAUUUACAUAUUUGACAAGAAUGCAGAGGCUCCUUUUGCCCCUGAAAAAAAUCAAAUUUCAAACACAACUUGACUGGUCAUUUCUCCAAAAGACAACCAUGAAGCUCCAUCCAAACCUGAAGCAGGCAGUUGGUGCAUGUGUACAGUAACCUGAGGGGAGUGAGGUGAGUGCUUCUGAGGAGAACAUGAGCUGUGAAGAUUCACCUUGGAGCUAGAACAGAGACAUGCACAUGAUUAUACAGGGGCAGGGGCUCAAGUUUUUUCCAGUCGUUUAUACAAUAUGGAAAUUAAUGUGAAAUUAAAACACAAAGUAUUAAUAGAAAGGUAAUGACUUUCCUGUGUAGGUGACAGUGAUAUCCAAUAGGCUAGGCACUCACGAGGCUGGCUGUGGCAAGUGUAAGUGAAAGCAACACGCACUGGCAAGAAGAACAGCAAACGCCGAUGAAGGAAAAGGGUCUUUGCAGUGAUGGGCGUUACCAGAGAGGGCGAUGGCCAGAGGACACAAAUGGGACGGGGAGGCAGCACGUUGGGGGGGGGACGCGACACGGCUCGGGCCCGCCAGUGCCCCAACGGGGUCCUAGUUGUUUCUUUCUUAGGGCCCGAGCGUAGCUGCUAAGCAGCUGCGAGAGCCCUAUUAUUCCCCAAGUGGUUUUUCUUUGUUUCUUUCUUUCUUCUUUUUCCUCCCCUUUGAACUGGAAAAUGGCCCACUUCCCACUGGCGAAAACUCAUGAAAUUUGGCAGGAUGACCGGGCCUGGUGAAAAAUUUGAUAUUCCGAAGUCGCCCAAACAAGAAAAUGCAAAAUGGCUCCAUAGCGCCCCCUAAGGUGAAAAUUCACACUAUUGACGGUCACGCCUUUACGCUUUGUCAUAUUGACACAAAAAUUGACACACACAUGUAUCUCAAUAAGAUCUACAAAAAAGUCAGUGCGGGCAUAUCUGUCAAAUGUACGGUUAAAGGGUUAUUCCGCAUUUUUUGCCGAUCCGCACACAUUGGAAUUUCGCUAACUCCUCCGAAGGCUUUCGUUCCACCGGCACCACAUUUGCUCAGGCCAAUCUACACCCCAUGGCCAUUAAAAGUUAUUCAAAUCAUGACGCUGCACCCCACGGUUUAGGUUCUAGGGGGCGCCAAAGAUAACCCUAAAAUCCACAUAUUUAAAAGUCUUAUAACUUUUUAUUUUUGCCCUCACUGGCCUCCAAGUUUUCUAGGAUGAUGCAAUGUCCAGCCAUCAACACAUUUGUGAAGGAAUUUUUAAUCCCCAAAAGAGCGCCCCCCCAUGGCAGGAGAAAAAAGUCCAUUUUUUCUUGUCCCCUAAGGUGAAAAUACACAUUGUUGAGUGUCACGCCUGUACGCUUUGUCAUAUUGACACAAAAUUUGACACACACAUGUAUCUCAAUAAGAUCUACGAAAAAGUCAAUGCGCGCGUAUCUGUCAAAUGUACGGUUAAAGGGUUAUUCCGCAUUUUUUGCUGAUCCGCACACAUUGGAAUUUCGCUAACUCCUCCUAAGGCUGGCGUUCCACCGGCACCACAUUUGCUCAGGCCAAUCUACACCCCAUGGCCAUUAAAAGUUAUUCAAAUCAUGACGCUAGACCCCACGGUUUAGGUUCUAGGGGGCGCCAAAGAUAACCCUAAAAUCCACAUAUUUCAAAGUCUUAUAACUUUUUAUUUUUGCCCUCACUGGCCUCCAAAUUUUCUAGGAUGAUGCAAUGUCCAGCCAUCAACACAUUUGUGAAGGAAUUUUUAAUCCCCAAAAGAGCGCCCCCCCAUGGCAGGAGAAAAAAGUCCAUUUUUUCUUGUCCCAUAAGAUGAAAAAACACAUUGUUGACUGUCAUACCUGUACGCUUUGUCAUAUUGACACAAAAUUUGACAAUCACAUGUAUCUCAAUAAGAUCUACGAAAAAGUCAAUGCGCGCGUAUCUGUAAAAUGUACGGUUAAAGGGCUAUUUUGCAUUUUUUGCCGAUUCGCACACAUUGGAAUGUGGCUAACUCCUCCUAAGGCUUUCGUCCCACUGACACCAAAUUUGCUCAGGCCAAUCUACACCCCAUGGCCAUUCAAAGUUGUAAAAAUCAUGACGCUGCACCCCACGGUUUACGUUCUAGGGGGCGCCAAAGAUGACCCAAAUAUCCACAUUCUUAAAAGAAUCCACAUCCCCCCCCCCAUCCCCCAACCCCCAUGGCAGGAGAAACAGUCAAGUUUUUCCUGCCCAUCACUCAAUGGCUCAAUCGCAUCACUCUCCCGGCAACACCGUAACGAGGAGCAACUUGCCGUUUGGAUAUAUCCUAGCUGUGUUUGUGCCCUCACUCAUGGUCCAGACUUUUUUCAAAUAGGACAUGUAGUUUGUCUGCAGCGAGUGUUUUGGUAGAAACUGCGCCUCCCAUUCAUUAUAAUGGGAAAUGACCACAGACAAGUGCGCACACCAUCUUUGGACCUUGAGUGUGACGCGAUCGGGAGGGGGAGGCGGUCGCGCUGGGGGCGGCGCAACGCGGCUCGGGCCCGACAGUGCCCCACCGGGGCCCUAGUUAGGGCCCGAGCGUAGCUGCUAAGCAGCUGCGAGAGCCCUCUUGUUCCUGUAGUUUCCUUCUUUUUAGGGCCCGAGCGUAGCUGCUAAGCAGCUGCGAGAGCCCUCUUGUUCCUGUAGUUUCCUUCUUUUUAGGGCCCGAGCGUAGCUGCUAAGCAGCUGCGAGAGCCCUAUUAUUCCCCAAGGGGUUUUUUAGGGCCCGAGCCAGCUGCAGAGCAGCCGGGCGUAGGCCCUAUUAUUCCCCAAGUGGUUUUUUAGGGCCCGAGCGUAGCUGCUAAGCAGCUGCGAGAGCCCUAUUAUUCCCCAAGUGGUUUUUCUUUGUUUCUUUUUAGGGCCCGAGCGUAGCUGCUAAGCAGCUGCGAGAGCCCUAUUAUUCCCCAAGUGGUUUUUCUUUGUUUCUUUCUUUCUUCUUUUUCCUCCCCUUUGAACUGGAAAAUGGCCCACUUCCCACUGGCGAAAACUCAUGAAAUUUGGCAGGAUGACCGGGCCUGGUGAAAAAUUUGAUAUUCCGAAGUCGCCCAAACAAGAAAAUGCAAAAUGGCUCCAUAGCGCCCCCUAAGGUGAAAAUUCACACUAUUGACGGUCACGCCUUUACGCUUUGUCAUAUUGACACAAAAAUUGACACACACAUGUAUCUCAAUAAGAUCUACAAAAAAGUCAGUGCGGGCAUAUCUGUCAAAUGUACGGUUAAAGGGUUAUUCCGCAUUUUUUGCCGAUCCGCACACAUUGGAAUUUCGCUAACUCCUCCGAAGGCUUUCGUUCCACCGGCACCACAUUUGCUCAGGCCAAUCUACACCCCAUGGCCAUUAAAAGUUAUUCAAAUCAUGACGCUGCACCCCACGGUUUAGGUUCUAGGGGGCGCCAAAGAUAACCCUAAAAUCCACAUAUUUAAAAGUCUUAUAACUUUUUAUUUUUGCCCUCACUGGCCUCCAAGUUUUCUAGGAUGAUGCAAUGUCCAGCCAUCAACACAUUUGUGAAGGAAUUUUUAAUCCCCAAAAGAGCGCCCCCCAUGGCAGGAGAAAAAAGUCCAUUUUUUCUUGUCCCCUAAGGUGAAAAUACACAUUGUUGAGUGUCACGCCUGUACGCUUUGUCAUAUUGACACAAAAUUUGACACACGCAUGUAUCUCAAUAAGAUCUACGAAAAAGUCAAUGCGCGCGUAUCUGUCAAAUGUACGGUUAAAGGGUUAUUCCGCAUUUUUUGCUGAUCCGCACACAUUGGAAUUUCGCUAACUCCUCCUAAGGCUGGCGUUCCACCGGCACCACAUUUGCUCAGGCCAAUCUACACCCCAUGGCCAUUAAAAGUUAUUCAAAUCAUGACGCUAGACCCCACGGUUUAGGUUCUAGGGGGCGCCAAAGAUAACCCUAAAAUCCACAUAUUUCAAAGUCUUAUAACUUUUUAUUUUUGCCCUCACUGGCCUCCAAAUUUUCUAGGAUGAUGCAAUGUCCAGCCAUCAACACAUUUGUGAAGGAAUUUUUAAUCCCCAAAAGAGCGCCCCCCCAUGGCAGGAGAAAAAAGUCCAUUUUUUCUUGUCCCAUAAGAUGAAAAAACACAUUGUUGACUGUCAUACCUGUACGCUUUGUCAUAUUGACACAAAAUUUGACAAUCACAUGUAUCUCAAUAAGAUCUACGAAAAAGUCAAUGCGCGCGUAUCUGUAAAAUGUACGGUUAAAGGGCUAUUUUGCAUUUUUUGCCGAUUCGCACACAUUGGAAUGUGGCUAACUCCUCCUAAGGCUUUCGUCCCACUGACACCAAAUUUGCUCAGGCCAAUCUACACCCCAUGGCCAUUCAAAGUUGUAAAAAUCAUGACGCUGCACCCCACGGUUUACGUUCUAGGGGGCGCCAAAGAUGACCCAAAUAUCCACAUUCUUAAAAGAAUCCACAUCCCCCCCCCAUCCCCCAACCCCCAUGGCAGGAGAAACAGUCAAGUUUUUCCUGCCCAUCACUCAAUGGCUCAAUCGCAUCACUCUCCCGGCAACACCGUAACGAGGAGCAACUUGCCGUUUGGAUAUAUCCUAGCUGUGUUUGUGCCCUCACUCAUGGUCCAGACUUUUUUCAAAUAGGACAUGUAGUUUGUCUGCAGCGAGUGUUUUGGUAGAAACUGCGCCUCCCAUUCAUUAUAAUGGGAAAUGACCACAGACAAGUGCGCACACCAUCUUUGGACCUUGAGUGUGACGCGAUCGGGAGGGGGAGGCGGUCGCGCUGGGGGCGGCGCAACGCGGCUCGGGCCCGACAGUGCCCCACCGGGGCCCUAGUUAGGGCCCGAGCGUAGCUGCUAAGCAGCUGCGAGAGCCCUCUUGUUCCUGCAUGUUUCCUUCUUUUGUUAUUAGGGCCCGAGCCAGCUGCAGAGCAGCCGGGCGUAGGCCCUAUUAUUCCCCAAGUGGUUUUUCUUUGUUUCUUUCUUUCUUUUUAGGGCCCGAGCCAGCUGCAGAGCAGCCGGGCGUAGGCCCUAUUAUUCCCCAAGUGGUUUUUCUUUGUUUCUUUCUUUCUUUUUUCUUUUUCCUCCCCUUUGAACUGGAAAAUGGCCCACUUCCCACUGGCGAAAACUCAUGAAAUUUGGCAGGACGACCGGGCCUGGUGAAAAAUUCGAUAUUCUGAAGUCGCCCAAACAAUAAAAUGCAAAAUGGCUCCAUAGCGCCCCCUAAGGUGGAAAUUCACACUAUUGACUGUCACGCCUGUACGCUUUGUCAUAUUGACACAAAAAUUGACACACAUAUGUAUCUCAAUAAGAUCUACAAAAAAGUCAGUGCGGCCGUAUCUGUCAAAAUUACGGUUAAAGGGUUAUUUCGCAUUUUUUGCCGAUCCGCACACAUUGGAAUUUCGCUAACUCCUCCGAAGGCUUUCGUUCCACCGGCACCACAUUUGCUCAGGCCAAUCUACACCCCGUGGCCAUUAAAAGUUAUCAAAAUCAUGACGCUGCACCCCAAGGUUUAGGUUCUAGGGGGCGCCAAAGAUAACCCUAAAAUCCACAUAUUUAAAAGUCUUAUAACUUUUUAUUUUUGUCCUCACUGGCCUCCAAGUUUUCUAGGAUGAUGCAAUGUCCAGCCAUCAACACAUUUGUGAAGGAAUUUUUACUCCCCAAAAGAGCGCCCCCCCAUGGCAGGAGAAAAAAGUCCAUUUUUUCUUGUCCCCUAAGGUGAAAAUACACAUUGUUGAGUGUCACGCCUAUACGCUUUGUCAAAAUGACACAAAAAUUGACACACACAUGUAACUCAAUAAGAUCUACGAAAAAGUCAAUGCGCGCGUAUCUGUAAAAUGUACGGUUAAAGGGCUAUUUUGCAUUUUUUGCCGAUUCGCACACAUUGGAAUGUGGCUAUCUCCUCCUAAGGCUUUCGUCCCACUGACACCAAAUUUGCUCAGGCCAAUCUACACCCCAUGGCCAUUCAAAGUUGUAAAAAUCAUGACGCUGCACCCCACGGUUUACGUUCUAGGGGGCGCCAAAGAUGACCCAAAUAUCCACAUUCUUAAAAGAAUCCACAUCCCCCCCCAUCCCCCAUCCCCCAUGGCAGGAGAAACAGUCAAGUUUUUCCUGCCCAUCACUCAAUGGCUCAUUCGCAUCACUCUCCCGGCAACACCGUAACGAGGAGCAACUUGCCGUUUGGAUAUAUCCUAGCUGUGUUUGUGCCCUCACUCAUGGUCCAGACUUUUUUCAAAUAGGACAUGUAGUUUGUCUGCAGCGAGUGUUUUGGUAGAAACUGCGCCUCCCAUUCAUUAUAAUGGGAAAUGACCACAGACAAGUGCGCACACCAUCUUUGGACCUUGAGUGUGACGCAAUCGGGAGGGGUAGGCGGUCGCGCUGGGGGCGGCGCAACGCGGCUCGGGCCCGACAGUGCCCCACCGGGGUCCUAGUUUCUUUUUCCUCCCCUUUGAACUGGAAAAUGGCCCACUUCCCACUGGCGAAAACUCAUGAAAUUUGGCAGGACGACCGGGCCUGGUGAAAAAUUUGAUAUUCUGAAGUCGCCCAAACAAUAAAAUGCAAAAUGGCUCCAUAGCGCCCCCUAAGGUGAAAAUUCACACUAUUGACUGUCACGCCUGUACGCUUUGUCAUAUUGACACAAAAAUUGACACACAUAUGUAUCUCAAUAAGAUCUACAAAAAAGUCAGUGCGGCCGUAUCUGUCAAAAUUACGGUUAAAGGGUUAUUUUGCAUUUUUUGCCGAUCCGCACACAUUGGAAUUUCGCUAACUCCUCCGAAGGCUUUCGUUCCACCGGCACCACAUUUGCUCAGGCCAAUCUACACCCCGUGGCCAUUAAAAGUUAUCAAAAUCAUGACGCUGCACCCCAAGGUUUAGGUUCUAGGGGGCGCCAAAGAUAACACUAAAAUCCACAUAUUUAAAAGUCUUAUAACUUUUUAUUUUUGUCCUCACUGGCCUCCAAGUUUUCUAGGAUGAUGCAAUGUCCAGCCAUCAACACAUUUGUGAAGGAAUUUUUACUCCCCAAAAGAGCGCCCCCCCAUGGCAGGAGAAAAAAUUCCAUUUUUUCUUGUCCCCUAAGGUGAAAAUACACAUUGUUGAGUGUCACGCCUAUACGCUUUGUCAAAAUGACACAAAAAUUGACACACACAUGUAACUCAAUAAGAUCUACGAAAAAGUCAAUGCGCCCAUAUCUGUCAAAUGUACGGUUAAAGGGUUAUUCCGCAUUUUUUGCCGAUCCGCACACAUUGGAAUUUCGCUAACUCCUCCUAAGGCUUUCGUUCCACCGGCACCACAUUUGCUCAGGCCAAUCUACACCCCAUGGCCAUUAAAAGUUAUCAAAAUCAUGACGCUGCACCCCACGGUUUAGGUUCUAGGGGGCGCCAAAGAUAACCCUAAAAUCCACAUAUUUAAAAGUCUUAUAACUUUUUAUUUUUGUCCUCACUGGCCUCCAAGUUUUCUAGGAUGAUGCAAUGUCCAGCCAUCAACACAUUUGUGAAGGAAUUUUUACUCCCCAAAAGAGCGCCCCCCCAUGGCAGGAGAAAAAAGUCCAUUUUUUCUUGUCCCCUAAGGUGAAAAUACACAUUGUUGAGUGUCACGCCUAUACGCUUUGUCAAAAUGACACAAAAAUUGACACACACAUGUAACUCAAGAAGAUCUACGAAAAAGUCAAUGCGCGCAUAUCUGUCAAAUGUACGGUUAAAGGGUUAUUCCGCAUUUUUUGCCGAUCCGCACACAUUGGAAUUUCGCUUACUCCUCCUAAGGCUUUCGUUCCACCGGCACCACAUUUUCUCAGGCCAAUCUACACCCCAUGGCCAUUAAAAGUUAUCAAAAUCAUGACGCUGCACCCCACGGUUUAGGUUCUAGGGGGCGCCAAAGAUAACCCUAAAAUCCACAUAUUUAAAAGUCUUAUAACUUUUUAUUUUUGUCCUCACUGGCCUCCAAGUUUUCUAGGAUGAUGCAAUGUCCAGCCAUCAACACAUUUGUGAAGGAAUUUUUACUCCCCAAAAGAGCGCCCCCCCAUGGCAGGAGAAAAAAGUCCAUUUUUUCUUGUCCUCUAAGGUGAAAAUACAUAUUGUUGAGAUUCACGCCUAUACGCUUUGUCAUAUUGACACAACAUUUGACAAUCACGUGCCUUGCCUGGUAUCAUUUUUUUCAGCACAACCUCACCUGUGCGAAUUUACAGUUAUUUUAUCAUGUUGACAUACUGAAUUUACACAAUGGACCCAAAUUCACACACAAAACAUAAAAUCCGAGUGGAAAAAAGUAACAUUUUUACUGUGAAAACCACAAAUAUGUGUGAUGAACUGUUUUUAAAACUUAAACUUCAAAUAAAAAUUGUAAACUUCAAAACAUAUGCAAAUUUUUAACAAAGAACAUAGUGAUUUACCUCUAUUUACAUCAAAAUGCAGGCAAUGGCCCAGGCGUUCUUUGUAAAAUUAUUUACAAAACACUGUAUAGUCUCACAAAUGUCACUUUUUAUUUAUGCCACUACAAAAAAACAUGAUGUAAAUGAUGCAUGAUGUAAAACAUGAUGUAAAAAACUUGUGUAGAUCCUCCUCUAUGUCAGUCCAUGUGUAAUUUUUCCAUAAUUCUUUGUUUUUUGCAGCAUUUUUGUUAGUGUAACUGCAGAUUGUGCUGACAGUGUCUAUGGCACAAAAAAAAAAAAUUAAUUAAAAUGCCUCAACAUGAACCCCUGGUGGUCUCUGAGGGUGAAACCUGCUAACUGCUGCAGCUCUGUCAGCUUCAGUCUCCCAUGCAGAGCUCUGAGCGCAUGUGUGGCUCUGCACCCUUAGCAGCGUUGCUAACUCCUCAGUAAGGAAAGCCUGCUUCAUGUCAGAGUCUCUAAACUCCAGAAGAAGUCGAUAAAAGUCCCUUUCUUUCUAAAAAAAAGUCGUUAGGGGGUCUGAAAAGUCAUUGAAUCUAACAACAAAGUCGCUAGGUUUGCAACUACGUGUCCCAGACUGCAUCCCUGCUGAGAGUCCCUCCCUCCCUUCUCAUGUCGCAGGAAGAACGUAAGCGCCCCCCUUGUCAAUCAGUCACCAUAUAAUUUUGGAUUGGUUGUUGUGGUGAAGUUUUCCACCAAUAGGAGAGAUGUUGUGGUGUGUUUUUUUUUUCUUUUGGCAAGCCUUUUCCGCCUGUAAGAGCUGUCGCUAAUGUCUGCAUGCUAUGUUUUCCUGUCUCAUACAGCGCGAUCGAGCGCCGAACGUGAUCAAAAUAAGCAGAAAACAAGUAUCGCGGACAUAAUUUAUCAUAACUCUGGUUUUAUUUGGCCUAUCAACACAAUUUAAAAACUGGUAUAUAGCUUGAGGUCCUCACUUUUGAGAUAAGUUGAAACGGAGAGUCAACGAGGCUCCGUCUUGCAGCUACAUCCGGUUAAAUAUGUCAUGUGACUUGAACGCACACACAGACACACACACACGCACACACACACACACACACACACACACACACACACACACACACACACACACACACACUCAGAGUCUGGUUUUUAGCACCUGCAAAAACAUGCUAUUUACAUAUUUGACAAGAAUGCAGAGGCUCCUUUUGCCCCUGAAAAAAAUCAAAUUUCAAACACAACUUGACUGGUCAUUUCUCCAAAAGACAACCAUGAAGCUCCAUCCAAACCUGAAGCAGGCAGUUGGUGCAUGUGUACAGUAACCUGAGGGGAGUGAGGUGAGUGCUUCUGAGGAGAACAUGAGCAGUGAAGAUUCACCUUGGAGCUAGAACAGAGACAUGCACAUGAUUAUACAGGGGCAGGGGCUCAAGUUUUUUCCAGUCGUUUAUACAAUAUGGAAAUUAAUGUGAAAUUAAAACACAAAGUAUUAAUAGAAAGGUAAUGACUGUCCUGUGUAGGUGACAGUAAUAUCCAAUAGGCUAGGCACUCACGAGGCUGGCUGUGGCAAGUGUAAGUGAAAGCAACACGCACUGGCAGGAAGAACAGCAAACGCCGAUGAAGGAAAAGGGUCUUUGCAGUGAUGGGCGUUAACAGAGAGGGCGAUGGCCAGAGGACACAAAUGGGACGGGGAGGCAGCACGUUGGGGGGGGGGGGGGGAUGCGACACGGCUCGGGCCCGCCAGUGCCCCAACGGGGUCCUAGUUAGGGCCCGAGCGUAGCUGCUAAGCAGCUGCGAGAGCCCUCUUGUUCCUGUAGUUUCCUUCUUUUGUUAUUAUUAUUUUUCCUCCCCUUUGAACUGGAAAAUGGCCCACUUCCCACUGGCGAAAACUCAGGAAAUUUGGCAGGACGACCGGGCCUGGUGAAAAAUUUGAUAUUCCGAAGUCGCCCAAACAAGAAAAUGCAAAAUGGCUCCAUAGCGCCCCCUAAGGUGAAAAUUCACACUAUUGACUGUCACGCCUGUACGCUUUGUCAAAAUGACACAAAAAUUGACACACACAUGUAUCUCAAUAAGAUCUACAAAAAAGUCAGUGCGGGCAUAUCUGUCAAAUGUACGGUUAAAGGGUUAUUUCGCAUUUUUUGCCGAUCCGCACACAUUGGAAUUUCGCUAACUCCUCCGAAGGCUUUCGUUCCACCGGCACCACAUUUGCUCAGGCCAAUCUACACCCCAUGGCCAUUAAAAGUUAUUCAAAUCAUGACGCUGCACCCCACGGUUUAGGUUCUAGGGGGCGCCAAAGAUAACCCUAAGAUCCACAUAUUUAAAAGUCUUAUAACUUUUUAUUUUUGCCCUCACUGGCCUCCAAGUUUUCUAGGAUGAUGCAAUGUCCAGCCAUCAACACAUUUGUGAAGGAAUUUUUACUCCCCAAAAGAGCGCCCCCCCAUGGCAGGAGAAAAAAGUCCAUUUUUUCUUGUCCCCUAAGGUGAAAAUACACAUUGUUGAGUGUAACACCUGUACGCUUUGGCAAAAUGACACAAAAAUUGACACACACAUGUAUCUCAAUAAGAUCUACGAAAAAGUCAAUGCGCGCGUAUCUGUCAAAUGUACGGUUAAAGGGUUAUUCUGCAUUUUUUGCCGAUCCGCACACAUUGGAAUUUCGCUAACUCCUCCGAAGGCUUUCGUUCCACCGGCACCACAUUUGCUCAGGCCAAUCUACACCCCAUGGCCAUUAAAAGUUAUUCAAAUCAUGACGCUGCACCCCACGGUUUAGGUUCUAGGGGGCGCCAAAGAUAACCCUAAAAUCCACAUAUUUAAAAGUCUUAUAACUUUUUAUUUUUGUCCUCACUGGCCUCCAAGUUUUCUAGGAUGAUGCAAUGUCCAGCCAUCAACACAUUUGUGAAGGAAUUUUUACUCCCCAAAAGAGCGCCCCCCCAUGGCAGGAGAAAAAAGUCCAUUUUUUCUUGUCCCCUAAGGUGGAAAUUCACACUAUUGACUGUCACGCCUGUACGCUUUAUCAUAUUGACACAAAAAUUGACACACAUAUGUAUCUCAAUAAGAUCUACAAAAAAGUCAAUGCGCGCGUAUCUGUCAAAUGUACGGUUAAAGGGCUAUUUUGCAUUUUUUGCCGAUUCGCACACAUUGGAAUGUGGCUAACUCCUCCUAAGGCUUUCGUUCCACCGGCACCACAUUUGCUCAGGCCAAUCUACACCCCAUGGCCAUUAAAAGUUAUUCAAAUCAUGACGCUGCACCCCACGGUUUAGGUUCUAGGGGGCGCCAAAGAUAACCCUAAAAUCCACAUAUUUAAAAGUCUUAUAACUUUUUAUUUUUGUCCUCACUGGCCUCCAAGUUUUCUAGGAUGAUGCAAUGUCCAGCCAUCAACACAUUUGUGAAGGAAUUUUUACUCCCCAAAAGAGCGCCCCCCCAUGGCAGGAGAAAAAAGUCCAUUUUUUCUUGUCCCCUAAGGUGAAAAUACAUAUUGUUGAGAUUCACGCCUAUACGCUUUGUCAUAUUGACACAAAAUUUGACAAUCACGUGCCUUGCCUGGUAUCAUUUUUUUUCAGCACAACCUCACCUGUGCGAAUUUACAGUUAUUUUAUCAUGUUGACAUACUGAAUUUACACAAUGGACCCAAAUUCACACACAAAACAUAAAAUCCGAGUGGAAAAAAGUAACAUUUUUACUGUGAAAACCACAAAUAUGUGUGAUGAACUGUUUUUAAAACUUAAACUUCAAAUAAAAAUUGUAAACUUCAAAACAUAUGCAAAUUUUUAACAAAGAACAUAGUGAUUUACCUCUAUUUACAUCAAAAUGCAGGCAAUGGCCCAGGCGUUCUUUGUAAAAUUAUUUACAAAACACUGUAUAGUCUCACAAAUGUCACUUUUUAUUUAUGCCACUACAAAAAAACAUGAUGUAAAUGAUGCAUGAUGUAAAACAUGAUGUAAAAAACUUGUGUAGAUCCUCCUCUAUGUCAGUCCAUGUGUAAUUUUUCCAUAAUUCUUUGUUUUUUGCAGCAUUUUUGUUAGUGUAACUGCAGAUUGUGCUGACAGUGUCUAUGGCACAAAAAAAAAAAAAAAAUUAAAAUGCCUCAACAUGAACCCCUGGUGGUCUCUGAGGGUGAAACCUGCUAACUGCUGCAGCUCUGUCAGCUUCAGUCUCCCAUGCAGAGCUCUGAGCGCAUGUGUGGCUCUGCACCCUUAGCAGCGUUGCUAACUCCUCAGUAAGGAAAGCCUGCUUCAUGUCAGAGUCUCUAAACUCCAGAAGAAGUCGAUAAAAGUCCCUUUCUUUCUAAAAAAAAGUCGUUAGGGGGUCUGAAAAGUCAUUGAAUCUAACAACAAAGUCGCUAGGUUUGCAACUACGUGUCCCAGACUGCAUCCCUGCUGAGAGUCCCUCCCUCCCUUCUCAUGUUGCAGGAAGAACGUAAGCGCCCUCCCCUUGUCAAUCAGUCACCAUAUAAUUUUGGAUUGGUUGUUGUGGUGAAGUUUUCCACCAAUAGGAGAGAUGUUGUGGUGUGUUUUUUUUUUCUUUAGGCAAGCCUUUUCCGCCUGUAAGACCUGUCGCUAAUGUCUGCAUGCUAUGUUUUCCUGUCUCAUACAGCGCGAUCGAGCGCCGAACGUGAUCAAAAUAAGCAGAAAAAAAGUAUCGCGGACAUAAUUUAUCAUAACUCUGGUUUUAUUUGGCCUAUCAACACAAUUUAAAAACUGGUAUAUAGGUUGAGGUCCUCACUUUUGAGAUAAGUUGAAACGGAGAGUCAACGAGGCUCCGUCUUGCAGCUACAUCCGGUUAAAUAUGUCAUGUGACUUGAACGCACACACAGACACACACACACGCACACACACACACACACACACACUCAGAGUCUGGUUUUUAGCACCUGCAAAAACAUGCUAUUUACAUAUUUGACAAGAAUGCAGAGGCUCCUUUUGCCCCUGAAAAAAAUCAAAUUUCAAACACAACUUGACUGGUCAUUUCUCCAAAAGACAACCAUGAAGCUCCAUCCAAACCUGAAGCAGGCAGUUGGUGCAUGUGUACAGUAACCUGAGGGGAGUGAGGUGAGUGCCUCUGAGGAGAACAUGAGCAGUGAAGAUUCACCUUAGAGCUAGAACAGAGACAUGCACAUGAUUAUACAGGGGCAGGGGCUCAAGUUUUUUCCAGUCAUUUAUACAAUAUGGAAAUUAAUGUGAAAUUAAAACACAAAGUAUUAAUAGAAAGGUAAUGACUGUCCUGUGUAGGUGACAGUGAUAUCCAAUAGGCUAGGCACUCACGAGGCUGGCUGUGGCAAGUGUAAGUGAAAGCAACACGCACUGGCAGGAAGAACAGCAAACGCCGAUGAAGGAAAAGGGUCUUUGCAGUGAUGGGCGUUACCAGAGAGGGCGAUGGCCAGAGGACGCGAAUGGGACGGGGAGGCAGCAUGUUGGGGGGGGGACGCGACACGGCUCGGGCCCGCCAGUGCCCCAGCGGGGUCCUAGUUAUUAUUUUUCCUCCGCUUUAAACUGGAAAAUGGCCCACUUCCCACUGGCGAAAACUCAGGAAAUUUGGCAGGACGACCGGGCCUGGUGAAAAAUUCGAUAUUCUGAAGUCGCCCAAACAAUAAAAUGCAAAAUGGCUCCAUAGCGCCCCCUAAGGUGAAAAUUCACACUAUUGACUGUCACGCCUGUACGCUUUGUCAUAUUGACACAAAAAUUGACACACACAUGUAUCUCAAUAAGAUCUACAAAAAAGUCAGUGCGGGCAUAUCUGUCAAAUGUACGGUUAAAGGGUUAUUGCGCAUUUUUUGCCGAUCCGCACACAUUGGAAUUUCGCUAACUCCUCCGAAGGCUUUCGUUCCACCGGCACCACAUUUGCUCAGGCCAAUCUACACUCCAUGGCCAUUCAAAGUUGUACAAAUCAUGACGCUGCACCCCACGGUUUAGGUUCUAGGGGGCGCCAAAAAUAACCCAAAAAUCCACAUUCUUAAAAGUUUUAUAACUUUUUUUUUUUGUCCUCACUGGCCUCCAAGUUUUCUAGGAUGAUGCAAUGUCCAGCCAUCAACACAUUUGUGAAGGAAUUUUUACUCCCCAAAAGAGCGCCCUCCCAUGGCAGGACAAAAAAGUCAAUUUUUUCUUGUCCCCUAAGGUGAAAAUACACAUUGUUGAGAUUCACGCCUGUACGCUUUGUCAUAUUGACAAAAAAUUUGACACACACGUGUAUCUCAAUAAGAUCUACGAAAAAGUCAAUGCACGCGUAUCUGUAAACUGUACGGCUAAAGGGCUAUUUUGCAUUUUUUGCCGAUUCGCACACAUUGGAAUGUGGCUGACUCCUCCUAAGGAUUUCGUCCCACUGACAACAAAUUUGCUCAGGCCAAUCUACACCCCAUGGCCAUUAAAAGUUGUAAAAAUCAUGACGCUGCACCCCAUGGUUUACGUUCUAGGGGGCGCCAAAGAGGACCCAAAAAUCCACAUUCUUAAAAGUCUUAGAACUUUUUAUUUUUGUCCUCACUGGCCUCCAAGUUUUCUAGGAUGAUGCAAUGUCUAGCCAUCAACACAUUUGUGAAGGAAUUUUUACUCCCCAAAACAGCGCCCCCCCAUGGCCGGAGAAAAAGUCAAGUUUUUCCUGCCCAUCGCUCAAUGGCUCAAUCGCAUCGCUCUCCAGGCAACACCGUAAGGAGGAGCAACCUGCCAUUUGGAUAUAUCCUAGCUGUGUUUGUGCCCUCACUCAUGGUCCAGACUUUUUUCAAAUAGGACAUGUAGUUUGUCUGCAGCGAGCGUUUUGGUAGAAACUGCGCCUCCCAUUCAUUAUAAUGGUAAAUGACCACAGACAAGUGCGAACACCAUCUUUGGACCUUGAGUGUGACGCGAUCGGGAGGGAGAGGCGGUCGUGUUGGGGGCAGCGCGACACAGCUCGGGCCCGCCAGUGCCCCAACGGGGCCCUAGUGUUAUUAUUAGGGCCCGAGCGUAGCUGCUAAGCAGCUGCGAGAGCCCUCUUGUUCCUGAUGGAUUCUUCUUUCGUUAUUUUUCCUCCGCUUUAAACUGGAAAAUGGCCCACUUCCCACUGGCGAAAACUCAGGAAAUUUGGCAGGACGACCGGGCCUGGUGAAAAAUUUGAUAUUCUGAAGUCGCCCAAACAAAAAAAUGAAAAAUGGCUCCAUAGCGCCCCCUAUGGUGAAAACUCACCUGACGCCUGUACGCUUUGUCAAAAUGACACAAAAUUUGACACACAUGUGUAUCUCAAUAAGAUCUACAAAAAAGUCAAUGCGCGCGUAUCUGUCAAAUGUACCGUUAAAGGGCUAUUUCGCAUUUUUUGCCGAUCCGCACACAUUGGAAUUUCGCUAACUCCUCCGAAGGCUUUCGUUCCACCGGCACCAAAUUUGCUCAGGCCAAUCUACACCCCAUGGCCAUUAAAAGUUGUACAAAUCAUGACGCUGUACCCCACGGUUUAUGUUCUAGGGGGCGCCAAAGAUAACCCAAAAAUCCACAUUCUUAAAAGUCUUAUAACUUUUUAUUUUUGUCCUCACUGGCCUCCAAGUUUUCUAGGAUGAUGCAAUGUCCAGCCAUCAACACAUUUGUGAAGGAAUUUUUACUCCCCAAAAGAGCGCCCCCCCAUGGCAGGAGAAAAAAGUCCAUUUUUUCUUGUCCCCUAAGGUGCAAAUACACAUUGUUGAGUGUCACGCCUGUACGCUUUGUCAUAUUGACACAAAAUUUGACAAUCACGUGUGUCUCAAUAACGUCUACGAAAAAGUCAAUGCACGCGUAUCUGUAAAAUGUACGGUUAAAGGGCUAUUUUGCAUUUUUUGCCGAUUCGCACACAUUGGAAUGUGGCUAACUCCUCCUAAGGCUUUCGUCCCACCGACACCAAAUUUGCUCAGGCCAAUCUACACCCCAUGGCCAUUCAAAGUUGUAAAAAUCAUGACGCUGCACCCCACGGUUUACGUUCUAGGGGGCGCCAAAUAUGACCCAAAAAUCCACAUUCUUAAAAGAAUCCACAUCCCCCCCCCCCAUCCCCCAUCCCCCAUCCUCCAUGGCAGGAGAAACAGUCAAGAUUUUCCUGCCCAUCACUCAAUGGCUCAAUCGCAUCGCUCUCCCGGCAACACCGUAACGAGGAGCAACUUGCCGUUUGGAUAUAUCCUAGCUGUGUUUGUGCCCUCACUCAUGGUCCAGACUUUUUUCAAAUAGGACAUGUAGUUUGUCUGCAGCGAGUGUUUUGGUAGAAACUGCGCCUCCCAUUCAUUAUAAUGGGAAAUGACCACAGACAAGUGCGCACACCAUCUUUGGACCUUGAGUGUGACGCGAUCGGGAGGGGGAGGCGGUCGCGCUGGGGGCGGCGCGACGCGGCUCGGGCCCGACAGUGCCCCACCGGGGCCCUAGUUAUUAUUUUUCCUCCCCUUUGAACUGGAAAAUGGCCCACUUCCCACUGGCGAAAACUCAUGAAAUUUGGCAGGACGACCGGGCCUGGUGAAAAAUUUGAUAUUCCGAAGUCGCCCAAACAAGAAAAUGCAAAAUGGCUCCAUAGCGCCCCCUAAGGUGAAAAAUUCACCUGACGCCUGUACGCUUUGUCAAAAUGACACAAAAAUUGACACACACAUGUAUCUCAAUAAGAUCUACAAAAAAGUCAGUGCGGGCGUAUCUGUCAAAUGUACGGUUAAAGGGUUAUUGCGCAUUUUUUGCCGAUCCGCACACAUUGGAAUUUCGCUAACUCCUCCGAAGGCUUUCGUUCCACCGGCACCACAUUUGCUCAGGCCAAUCUACACCCCAUGGCCAUUAAAAGUUAUUCAAAUCAUGACGCUGCACCCCACGGUUUAGGUUCUAGGGGGCGCCAAAGAUAACACUAAAAUCCACAUAUUUCAAAGUCUUAUAACUUUUUAUUUUUGUCCUCACUGGCCUCCAAGUUUUCUAGGAUGAUGCAAUGUCCAGCCAUCAACACAUUUGUGAAGGAAUUUUUACUCCCCAAAAGAGCGCCCCCCAUGGCAGGAGAAAAAAGUCCAUUUUUUCUUGUCCCCUAAGGUGAAAAUACACAUUGUUGAGUGUCACGCAUGUACGCUUUGUCAAAAUGACACAAAAAUUGACACACACAUGUAACUCAAUAAGAUCUACAAAAAAGUCCAUGCGCGCAUAUCUGUCAAAUGUACAGUUAAAGGGUUAUUCCGCAUUUUUUGCCGAUACGCACACAUUGGAAUUUCGCUAACUCCUCCGAAGGCUUUCGUUCCACCGGCACCACAUUUGCUCAGGCCAAUCUACACCCCAUGGCCAUUAAAAGUUAUUCAAAUCAUGAUGCUGCACCCCAUGGUUUAGGUUCUAGGGGGCGCCAAAAAUAACCCAAAAAUCCACAUUCUUAAAUGUUUUAUAACUUUUUAUUUUUGUCCUCACUGGCCUCCAAGUUUUCUAGGAUGAUGCAAUGUCCAGCCAUCAACACAUUUGUGAAGGAAUUUUUACUCCCCAAAAGAGCGCCCCCCCAUGGUAGGAGAAAAAAGUCAAUUUUUUCUUGUCCCCUUACAUGAAAAUACACAUUGUUGAGUGUCACGCCUGAACGCUUUGUCAUAUUGACACAAAAAUUGACAAUCAUGUGUAUCUCAAUUAGAUCUACGAAAAAGUCAAAGAGCGCGUAUCUUUAUAAUGUACGUUUAAAGGGCUAUUUUGCAUUUUUUGCCGAUUCGCACACAUUGGAAUGUGGCUAUCUCCUCCUAAGGCUUUCGUCCCACCGAUACCAAAUUUGCUCAGGGAAAUCUACACCCCAUGCCCAUUCAAAGUUGUAAAAAUCAUGACGCUGCACCCCACGGUUUACGUUCUAGGGGGCGCCAAAGAUGACCCAAAAAUCCACAUUCUUAAAGGAAUCCACACACCCCCCCCCCACACCCCCCCCAAGGCAGGAGAAAAAGUCAAGUUAACCCUGCCCAUCGCUCAAUGGCUCAAUCGCAUCGCUCUCCAGGCAACACCGUAAGGAGGAGCAACCUGCCAUUUCGAUAUAUCAUAGCUGUGUUUGUGCCCUCACUCAUGGUCCAGACUUUUUUCAAAUAGGACAUGAAGUUUGUCUGCAGCGAGUGUUUUGGUAGAAACUGCGCCUCCUAUUCAUUAUAAUGGGAAAUGACCACAGACAAGUGCGCACACCAUCUUUGGACCUUGAGUGUGACGCGAUCGGGAGGGGGAGGCGGUCGCGCUGGGGGCGGCGCGACGCGGCUCGGGCCCGACAGUGCCCCAGCGGGGCCCUAGUUAGGGCCCGAGCGUAGCUGCUAAGCAGCUGCGAGAGCCCUAUUAUUCCCCAAGGGGUUUUUCUUUGUUUCUUUCUUUCUUCUUUUUCCUCCCCUUUGAACUGGAAAAUGGCCCACUUCCCACUGGCGAAAACUCAUGAAAUUUGGCAGGAUGACCGGGCCUGGUGAAAAAUUUGAUAUUCCGAAGUCGCCCAAACAAUAAAAUGCAAAAUGGCUCCAUAGCGCCCCCUAAGGUGAAAAUUCACACUAUUGACUGUCACGCCUUUACGCUUUGUCAUAUUGACACAAAAAUUGACACACAUAUGUAUCUUAAUAAGAUCUACAAAAAAGUCAGUGCGGCCGUAUCUGUCAAAUGUACGGUUAAAGGGUUAUUGCGCAUUUUUUGCCGACCCGCACACAUUGGAAUUUCGCUAACUCCUCCGAAGGCUUUCGUUCCACCGGCACCACAUUUGCUCAGGCCAAUCUACACCCCGUGGCCAUUAAAAGUUAUCAAAAUCAUGACGCUGCACCCCAAGGUUUAGGUUCUAGGGGGCGCCAAAGAUAACACUAAAAUCCACAUAUUUAAAAGUCUUAUAACUUUUUAUUUUUGUCCUCACUGGCCUCCAAGUUUUCUAGGAUGAUGCAAUGUCCAGCCAUCAACACAUUUGUGAAGGAAUUUUUACUCCCCAAAAGAGCGCCCCCCCAUGGCAGAAGAAAAAAGUCCAUUUUUUCUUGUCCCCUAAGGUGAAAAUACACAUUGUUGAGUGUCACGCCUAUACGCUUUGUCAAAAUGACACAAAAAUUGACACACACAUGUAACUCAAUAAGAUCUACGAAAAAGUCAAUGCGCGCGUAUCUGUCAAAUGUACGGUUAAAGGGUUAUUCCGCAUUUUUUGCCGAUCCGCACACAUUGGAAUGUGGCUAACUCCUCCUAAGGCUUUCGUUCCACCGGCACCACAUUUGCUCAGGCCAAUCUACACCCCAUGGCCAUUAAAAGUUAUUCAAAUCAUGACGCUGCACCCCACGGUUUAGGUUCUAGGGGGCGCCAAAGAUAACCCUAAAAUCCACAUAUUUAAAAGUCUUAUAACUUUUUAUUUUUGUCCUCACUGGCCUCCAAGUUUUCUAGGAUGAUGCAAUGUCCAGCCAUCAACACAUUUGUGAAGGAAUUUUUACUCCCCAAAAGAGCGCCCCCCCAUGGCAGGAGAAAAAAGUCCAUUUUUUCUUGUCCCCUAAGGUGAAAAUACAUAUUGUUGAGAUUCACGCCUAUACGCUUUGUCAUAUUGACACAAAAUUUGACAAUCACGUGCCUUGCCUGGUAUCAUUUUUUUCAGCACAACCUCACCUGUGCGAAUUUACAGUUAUUUUAUCAUGUUGACAUACUGAAUUUACACAAUGGACCCAAAUUCACACACAAAACAUAAAAUCCAAGUGGAAAAAAGUAACAUUUUUACUGUGAAAACCACAAAUAUGUGUGAUGAACUGUUUUUAAAACUUAAACUUCAAAUAAAAAUUGUAAACUUCAAAACAUAUGCAAAUUUUUAACAAAGAACAUAGUGAUUUACCUCUAUUUACAUCAAAAUGCAGGCAAUGGCCCAGGCGUUCUUUGUAAAAUUAUUUACAAAACACUGUAUAGUCUCACAAAUGUCACUUUUUAUUUAUGCCACUACAAAAAAACAUGAUGUAAAUGAUGCAUGAUGUAAAACAUGAUGUAAAAAACUUGUGUAGAUCCUCCUCUAUGUCAGUCCAUGUGUAAUUUUUCCAUAAUUCUUUGUUUUUUGCAGCAUUUUUGUUAGUGUAACUGCAGAUUGUGCUGACAGUGUCUAUGGCACAAAAAAAAAAAAAAAAUUAAAAUGCCUCAACAUGAACCCCUGGUGGUCUCUGAGGGUGAAACCUGCUAACUGCUGCAGCUCUGUCAGCUUCAGUCUCCCAUGCAGAGCUCUGAGCGCAUGUGUGGCUCUGCACCCUUAGCAGCGUUGCUAACUCCUCAGUAAGGAAAGCCUGCUUCAUGUCAGAGUCUCUAAACUCCAGAAGAAGUCGAUAAAAGUCCCUUUCUUUCUAAAAAAAGUCGUUAGGGGGUCUGAAAAGUCAUUGAAUCUAACAACAAAGUCGCUAGGUUUGCAACUACGUGUCCCAGACUGCAUCCCUGCUGAGAGUCCCUCCCUCGCUUCUCAUGUUGCAGGAAGAACGUAAGCGCCCGCCCCUUGUCAAUCAGUCACCAUAUAAUUUUGGAUUGGUUGUUGUGGUGAAGUUUUCCACCAAUAGGAGAGAUGUUGUGGUGUGUUUUUUUUUCUUUUGGCAAGCCUUUUCCGCCUGUAAGACCUGUCGCUAAUGUCUGCAUGCUAUGUUUUCCUGUCUCAUACAGCGCGAUCGAGCGCCGAACGUGAUCAAAAUAAGCAGAAAAAAAGUAUCGCAGACAUAAUUUAUCAUAACUCUGGUUUUAUUUGGCCUAUCAACACAAUUUAAAAACUGGUAUAUAGGUUGAGGUCCUCACAUUUGAGAUAAGUUGAAACGGAGAGUCAACGAGGCUCCGUCUUGCAGCUACAUCCGGUUAAAUAUGUCAUGUGACUUGAACGCACACACAGACACACACACACACACACACACACACACACACACACACACACACACACACUCAGAGUCUGGUUUUUAGCACCUGCAAAAACAUGCUAUUUACAUAUUUGACAAGAAUGCAGAGGCUCCUUUUGCCCCUGAAAAAAAUCAAAUUUCAAACACAACUUGACUGCUCAUUUCUCCAAAAGACAACCAUGAAGCUCCAUCCAAACCUGAAGCAGGCAGUUGGUGCAUGUGUACAGUAACCUGAGGGGAGUGAGGUGAGUGCUUCUGAGGAGAACAUGAGCAGUGAAGAUUCACCUUGGAGCUAGAACAGAGACAUGCACAUGAUUAUACAGGGGCAGGGGCUCAAGUUUUUUCCAGUCGUUUAUACAAUAUGGAAAUUAAUGUGAAAUUAAAACACAAAGUAUUAAUAGAAAGGUAAUGACUGUCCUGUGUAGGUGACAGUGAUAUCGAAUAGGCUAGGCACUCACGAGGCUGGCUGUGGCAAGUGUAAGUGAAAGCAACACGCACUGGCAGGAAGAACAGCAAACGCCGAUGAAGGAAAAGGGUCUUUGCAGUGAUGGGCGUUACCAGAGAGGGCGAUGGCCAGAGGACACAAAUGGGACGAGGAGGCAGCGCGUUGGGGGGGGGACGCGACACAGCUCGGGCCCGCCAGUGCCCCAACGGGGUCCUAGUUUCUUUUUCCUCCCCUUUGAACUGGAAAAUGGCCCACUUCCCACUGGCGAAAACUCAUGAAAUUUGGCAGGACGACCGGGCCUGGUGAAAAAUUUGAUAUUCUGAAGUCGCCCAAACAAUACAAUGCAAAAUGGCUCCAUAGCGCCCCCUAAGGUGAAAAAUUCACCUGACGCCUGUACGCUUUGUCAAAAUGACACAAAAAUUGACACACACAUGUAUCUCAAUAAGAUCUACAAAAAAGUCAGUGCGGGCGUAUCUGUCAAAUGUACGGUUAAAGGGUUAUUGCGCAUUUUUUGCCGAUCCGCACACAUUGGAAUUUCGCUAACUCCUCCGAAGGCUUUCGUUCCACCGGCACCACAUUUGCUCAGGCCAAUCUACACCCCAUGGCCAUAAAAAGUUAUUCAAAUCAUGACGCUGCACCCCACGGUUUAGGUUCUAGGGGGCGCCAAAGAUAACCCUAAAAUCCACAUAUUUCAAAGUCUUAUAACUUUUUAUUUUUGUCCUCACUGGCCUCCAAGUUUUCUAGGAUGAUGCAAUGUCCAGCCAUCAACACAUUUGUGAAGGAAUUUUUACUCCCCAAAAGAGCGCCCCCCCAUGGCAGGAGAAAAAAGUCCAUUUUUUCUUGUCCCCUAAGGUGAAAAUACACAUUGUUGAGUGUCACGCCUAUACGCUUUGUCAAAAUGACACAAAAUUUGACACACACAUGUAACUCAAUAAGAUCUACAAAAAAGUCAAUGCGCGCGUAUCUGUCAAAUGUACAGUUAAAGGGUUAUUCCGCAUUUUUUGCCGAUACGCACACAUUGGAAUUUCGCUAACUCCUCCGAAGGCUUUCGUUCCACCGGCACCACAUUUGCUCAGGCCAAUCUACACCCCAUGGCCAUUAAAAGUUAUUCAAAUCAUGAUGCUGCACCCCAUGGUUUAGGUUCUAGGGGGCGCCAAAAAUAACCCAAAAAUCCACAUUCUUAAAUGUUUUAUAACUUUUUAUUUUUGUCCUCACUGGCCUCCAAGUUUUCUAGGAUGAUGCAAUGUCCAGCCAUCAACACAUUUGUGAAGGAAUUUUUACUCCCCAAAAGAGCGCCCCCCCAUGGUAGGAGAAAAAAGUCAAUUUUUUCUUGUCCCCUUACAUGAAAAUACACAUUGUUGAGUGUCACGCCUGAACGCUUUGUCAUAUUGACACAAAAAUUGACAAUCAUGUGUAUCUCAAUUAGAUCUACGAAAAAGUCAAAGAGCGCGUAUCUGUAUAAUGUACGGUUAAAGGGCUAUUUUGCAUUUUUUGCGGAUUCGCACACAUUGGAAUGUGGCUAUCUCCUCCUAAGGCUUUCGUCCCACCGAUACCAAAUUUGCUCAGGGCAAUCUACACCCCAUGCCCAUUCAAAGUUGUAAAAAUCAUGACGCUGCACCCCACGGUUUACGUUCUAGGGGGCGCCAAAGAUGACCCAAAAAUCCACAUUCUUAAAAGUCAUUUUGGCCACUGCAGGAGUACAGAGUACUGCAGUUCUAGGGGGCGCCAAAGAUGACCCAAAAAUCCACAUUCUUAAAAGUCUUUUUGGCCACUGCAGGAGUACAGAGUACUGCAGGAUACACACACAUAUACACACACGCCAACAUACACACACACACACACACACACAGACACACACACACACUCAGAGUCUGUUUUUUAGCACCUGCAAAAACAUGCUGUUUACAUAUUUGACAAGAAUGCAGAGGCUUCCUUUUGCCCCUGAAAAAAAUCAAAUUUCAAACACAACUUGACUGUUCAUUUCUCCAAAAGACAACCAUGAAGCUCCAUUUCAAACCUGAAGCAGAUAGUUGGUGCAUGUGUACAGUAACCUGAGGGGAGUGAGGUGACUAUUUCUGAGGAGAACAUGAGCAGUGAAGAUUCACCUUGGAGCUAGAACAGGGACGUGCACAUGAUUAUACAGGGGCAGGGGCUCAAGUUUUUUCCAGUCAUUUAUACAAUAUGGAAAUUAAUGUGAAAUUAAACCACAAAUAUGUGUGAUGAACUGUUUUUAAAACUUAAACUUCAAAUAAAAAUUGUAAACUUCAAAACAUAUGCAAAUUUUUAACAAAGAACAUAGUAAUUUACCUCUAUUUACAUCAAAAUGCAGGCAAUGGCCCAGGCGUUCUUUGUAAAAUUAUUUACAAAACACUGUAUAGUCUCACAAAUGUCACUUUUUAUUUAUGCCACUACAAAAAAACAUGAUGUAAAUGAUGCAUGAUGUAAAACAUGAUGUAAAAAACUUGUGUAGAUCCUCCUCUAUGUCAGUCCAUGUGUAAUUUUUCCAUAAUUCUUUGUUUUUUGCAGCAUUUUUGUUAGUGUAACUGCAGAUUGUGCUGACAGUGUCUAUGGCACAAAAAAAAAAAAAAAUUAAAAUGCCUCAACAUGAACCCCUGGUGGUCUCUGAGGGUGAAACCUGCUAACUGCUGCAGCUCUGUCAGCUUCAGUCUCCCAUGCAGAGCUCUGAGCGCAUGUGUGGCUCUGCACCCUUAGCAGCGUUGCUAACUCCUCAGUAAGGAAAGCCUGCUUCAUGUCAGAGUCUCUAAACUCCAGAAGAAGUCGAUAAAAGUCCCUUUCUUUCUAAAAAAAAGUCGUUAGGGGGUCUGAAAAGUCAUUGAAUCUAACAACAAAGUCGCUAGGUUUGCAACUACGUGUCCCAGACUGCAUCCCUGCUGAGAGUCCCUCCCUCCCUUCUCAUGUUGCAGGAAGAACGUAAGCGCCCGCCCCUUGUCAAUCAGUCACCAUAUAAUUUUGGAUUGGUUGUUGUGGUGAAGUUUUCCACCAAUAGGAGAGAUGUUGUGGUGUGUUUUUUUUUUCUUUUGGCAAGCCUUUUCCGCCUGUAAGACCUAUCGCUAAUGUCUGCAUGCUAUGUUUUCCUGUCUCAUACAGCGCGAUCGAGCGCCGAACGUGAUCAAAAUAAGCAGAAAACAAGUAUCGCGGACAUAAUUUAUCAUAACUCUGGUUUUAUUUGGCCUAUCAACACAAUUUAAAAACUGGUAUAUAGGUUGAGGUCCUCACUUUUGAGAUAAGUUGAAACGGAGAGUCAACAAGGCUCCGUCUUGCAGCUACAUCCGGUUAAAUAUGUCAUGUGACUUGAACGCACACACAGACACACACACACGCACACACACACACACACACACACACACACACACUCAGAGUCUGGUUUUUAGCACCUGCAAAAACAUGCUAUUUACAUAUUUGACAAGAAUGCAGAGGCUCCUUUUGCCCCUGAAAAAAAUCAAAUUUCAAACACAACUUGACUGGUCAUUUCUCCAAAAGACAACCAUGAAGCUCCAUCCAAACCUGAAGCAGGCAGUUGGUGCAUGUGUACAGUAACCUGAGGGGAGUGAGGUGAGUGCUUCUGAGGAGAACAUGAGCAGUGAAGAUUCACCUUGGAGCUAGAACAGAGACAUGCACAUGAUUAUACAGGGGCAGGGGCUCAAGUUUUUUCCAGUCGUUUAUACAAUAUGGAAAUUAAUGUGAAAUUAAAACACAAAGUAUUAAUAGAAAGGUAAUGACUGUCCUGUGUAGGUGACAGUGAUAUCCAAUAGGCUAGGCACUCACGAGGCUGGCUGUGGCAAGUGUAAGUGAAAGCAACACACACUGGCAGGAAGAACAGCAAACGCCGAUUAAGGAAAAGGGUCUUUGCAGUGAUGGGUGUUAACAGAGAGGGCGAUGGCCAGAGGACACAAAUGGGACGGGGAGGCAGCACGUUGGGGGGGGGGGGGGGGGGGACGCGACACGGCUCGGGCCCGCCAGUGCCCCAACGGGGUCCUAGUCUUUGUUUCUUUCUUUUAGGGCCCGAGCGUAGCUGCUAAGCAGCUGCGAGAGCCCUCUUGUUCCUGUAGUUUCCUUCUUUUGUUAUUAUUAUUAUUAGGGCCCGAGCCAGCUGCAGAGCAGCCGGGCGUAGGCCCUAUUAUUCCCCAAGUGGUUUUUCUUUGUUUCUUUCUUUCUUUCUUUCUUUCUUUCUUUCUUUCUUCUUUUUCCUCCCCUUUGAACUGGAAAAUGGCCCACUUCCCACUGGCGAAAACUCAUGAAAUUUGGCAGGACGACCGGGCCUGGUGAAAAAUUCGAUAUUCUGAAGUCGCCCAAACAAUAAAAUGCAAAAUGGCUCCAUAGCGCCCCCUAAGGUGGAAAUUCACACUAUUGACUGUCACGCCUGUACGCUUUGUCAUAUUGACACAAAAAUUGACACACAUAUGUAUCUCAAUAAGAUCUACAAAAAAGUCAGUGCGGCCGUAUCUGUCAAAAUUACGGUUAAAGGGUUAUUUCGCAUUUUUUGGUGAUCCGCACACAUUGGAAUUUCGCUAACUCCUCCGAAGGCUUUCGUUCCACCGGCACCACAUUUGCUCAGGCCAAUCUACACCCCGUGGCCAUUAAAAGUUAUCAAAAUCAUGACGCUGCACCGCAAGGUUUAGGUUCUAGGGGGCGCCAAAGAUAACACUAAAAUCCACAUAUUUAAAAGUCUUAUAACUUUUUAUUUUUGUCCUCACUGGCCUCCAAGUUUUCUAGGAUGAUGCAAUGUCCAGCCAUCAACACAUUUGUGAAGGAAUUUUUACUCCCCAAAAGAGCGCCCCCCCAUGGCAGGAGAAAAAAGUCCAUUUUUUCUUGUCCCCUAAGGUGAAAAUACACAUUGUUGAGUGUCACGCCUAUACGCUUUGUCAAAAUGACACAAAAAUUGACACACACAUGUAACUCAAUAAGAUCUACAAAAAAGUCCAUGCGCGCAUAUCUGUCAAAUGUACAGUUAAAGGGUUAUUCCGCAUUUUUUGCCGAUACGCACACAUUGGAAUUUCGCUAACUCCUCCGAAGGCUUUCGUUCCACCGGCACCACAUUUGCUCAGGCCAAUCUACACCCCAUGGCCAUUAAAAGUUAUUCAAAUCAUGAUGCUGCACCCCAUGGUUUAGGUUCUAGGGGUGCCAAAAAUAACCCAAAAAUCCACAUUCUUAAAUGUUUUAUAACUUUUUAUUUUUGUCCUCACUGGCCUCCAAGUUUUCUAGGAUGAUGCAAUGUCCAGCCAUCAACACAUUUGUGAAGGAAUUUUUACUCCCCAAAAGAGCGCCCCCCCAUGGUAGGAGAAAAAAGUCAAUUUUUUCUUGUCCCCUUACAUAAAAAUACACAUUGUUGAGUGUCACGCCUGAACGCUUUGUCAUAUUGACACAAAAAUUGACAAUCAUGUGUAUCUCAAUUAGAUCUACGAAAAAGUCAAAGAGCGCGUAUCUGUAUAAUGUACGGUUAAAGGGCUAUUUUGCAUUUUUUGCCGAUUCGCACACAUUGGAAUGUGGCUAUCUCCUCCUAAGGCUUUCGUCCCACCGAUACCAAAUUUGCUCAGGGCAAUCUACACCCCAUGCCCAUUCAAAGUUGUAAAAAUCAUGACGCUGCACCCCACGGUUUACGUUCUAGGGGGCGCCAAAGAUGACCCAAAAAUCCACAUUCUUAAAAGUCAUUUUGGCCACUGCAGGAGUACAGAGUACUGCAGUUCUAGGGGGCGCCAAAGAUGACCCAAAAAUCCACAUUCUUAAAAGUCUUUUUGGCCACUGCAGGAGUACAGAGUACUGCAGGAUACACACACAUAUACACACACGCCACACACACACACACACACACACACACACACACACACACACACACACACACACACACACACACAGACACACACACACACUCAGAGUCUGUUUUUUAGCACCUGCAAAAACAUGCUGUUUACAUAUUUGACAAGAAUGCAGAGGCUUCCUUUUGCCCCUGAAAAAAAUCAAAUUUCAAACACAACUUGACUGUUCAUUUCUCCAAAAGACAACCAUGAAGCUCCAUUUCAAACCUGAAGCAGAUAGUUGGUGCAUGUGUACAGUAACCUGAGGGGAGUGAGGUGACUAUUUCUGAGGAGAACAUGAGCAGUGAAGAUUCACCUUGGAGCUAGAACAGGGACGUGCACAUGAUUAUACAGGGGCAGGGGCUCAAGUUUUUUCCAGUCAUUUAUACAAUAUGGAAAUUAAUGUGAAAUUAAACCACAAAUAUGUGUGAUGAACUGUUUUUAAAACUUAAACUUCAAAUAAAAAUUGUAAACUUCAAAACAUAUGCAAAUUUUUAACAAAGAACAUAGUAAUUUACCUCUAUUUACAUCAAAAUGCAGGCAAUGGCCCAGGCGUUCUUUGUAAAAUUAUUUACAAAACACUGUAUAGUCUCACAAAUGUCACUUUUUAUUUAUGCCACUACAAAAAAACAUGAUGUAAAUGAUGCAUGAUGUAAAACAUGAUGUAAAAAACUUGUGUAGAUCCUCCUCUAUGUCAGUCCAUGUGUAAUUUUUCCAUAAUUCUUUGUUUUUUGCAGCAUUUUUGUUAGUGUAACUGCAGAUUGUGCUGACAGUGUCUAUGGCACAAAAAAAAAAAAAAUUAAAAUGCCUCAACAUGAACCCCUGGUGGUCUCUGAGGGUGAAACCUGCUAACUGCUGCAGCUCUGUCAGCUUCAGUCUCCCAUGCAGAGCUCUGAGCGCAUGUGUGGCUUGCACCCUUAGCAGCGUUGCUAACUCCUCAGUAAGGAAAGCCUGCUUCAUGUCAGAGUCUCUAAACUCCAGAAGAAGUCGAUAAAAGUCCCUUUCUUUCUAAAAAAAAGUCGUUAGGGGGUCUGAAAAGUCAUUGAAUCUAACAACAAAGUCGCUAGGUUUGCAACUACGUGUCCCAGACUGCAUCCCUGCUGAGAGUCCCUCCCUCCCUUCUCAUGUUGCAGGAAGAACGUAAGCGCCCGCCCCUUGUCAAUCAGUCACCAUAUAAUUUUGGAUUGGUUGUUGUGGUGAAGUUUUCCACCAAUAGGAGAGAUGUUGUGGUGUGUUUUUUUUUUCUUUUGGCAAGCCUUUUCCGCCUGUAAGACCUGUCGCUAAUGUCUGCAUGCUAUGUUUUCCUGUCUCAUACAGCGCGAUCGAGCGCCGAACGUGAUCAAAAUAAGCAGAAAACAAGUAUCGCGGACAUAAUUUAUCAUAACUCUGGUUUUAUUUGGCCUAUCAACACAAUUUAAAAACUGGUAUAUAGGUUGAGGUCCUCACUUUUGAGAUAAGUUGAAACGGAGAGUCAACGAGGCUCCGUCUUGCAGCUACAUCCGGUUAAAUAUGUCAUGUGACUUGAACGCACACAUAGACACACACACACGCACACACACACACACACACACACACACACACACACACACACACACACACACACACACACACACACACUCAGAGUCUGGUUUUUAGCACCUGCAAAAACAUGCUAUUUACAUAUUUGACAAGAAUGCAGAGGCUCGUUUUGCCCCUGAAAAAAAUCAAAUUUCAAACACAACUUGACUGGUCAUUUCUCCAAAAGACAACCAUGAAGCUCCAUCCAAACCUGAAGCAGGCAGUUGGUGCAUGUGUACAGUAACCUGAGGGGAGUGAGGUGAGUGCUUCUGAGGAGAACAUGAGCAGCGAAGAUUCACCUUGGAGCUAGAACAGAGACAUGCACAUGAUUAUACAGGGGCAGGGGCUCAAGUUUUUUCCAGUCGUCUAUACAAUAUGGAAAUUAAUGUGAAAUUAAAACACAAAGUAUUAAUAGAAAGGUAAUGACUGUCCUGUGUAGGUGACAGUGAUAUCCAAUAGGCUAGGCACUCACGAGGCUGGCUGUGGCAAGUGUAAGUGAAAGCAACACGCACUGGCAGGAAGAACAGCAAACGCCGAUGAAGGAAAAGGGUCUUUGCAGUGAUGGGCGUUAACAGAGAGGGCGAUGGCCAGAGGACACAAAUGGGACGGGAAGGCAGCACGUUGGGGGCGGGGGGGGGGAGACGCGACACGGCUCGGGCCCGCCAGUGCCCCAACGGGGUCCUAGUUAUUAUUUUUCCUCCCCUUUGAACUGGAAAAUGGCCCACUUCCCACUGGCGAAAACUCAUGAAAUUUAGCAGGACGACUGGGCCUGGUGAAAAAUUUGAUAUUCCGAAGUCGCCCAAACAAGAAAAUGCAAAAUGGCUCCAUAGCGCCCCCUAAGGUGAAAAUUCACACUAUUGACUGUCACGCCUGUACGCUUUGUCAAAAUGACACAAAAAUUGACACACACAUGUAUCUCAAUAAGAUCUACAAAAAAGUCAUUGCGGCCGUAUCUGUCAAAUGUACGGUUAAAGGGUUAUUUCGCAUUUUUUGCCGAUCCGCACACAUUGGAAUUUCGCUAACUCCUCCGAAGGCUUUCGUUCCACCGGCACCACAUUUGCUCAGGCCAAUCUACACCCCAUGGCCAUUAAAAGUUAUUCAAAUCAUGACGCUGCACCCCACGGUUUAGGUUCUAGGGGGCGCCAAAGAUAACCCUAAGAUCCACAUAUUUAAAAGUCUUAUAACUUUUUCUUUUUGCCCUCACUGGCCUCCAAGUUUUCUAGGAUGAUGCAAUGUCCAGCCAUCAACACAUUUGUGAAGGAAUUUUUACUCCCCAAAAGAGCGCCCCCCCAUGGCAGGAGAAAAAAGUCCAUUUUUUCUUGUCCCCUAAGGUGAAAAUACACAUUGUUGAGUGUAACACCUGUACGCUUUGGCAAAAUGACACAAAAAUUGACACACACAUGUAUCUCAAUAAGAUCUACGAAAAAGUCAAUGCGCGCGUAUCUGUCAAAUGUACGGUUAAAGGGUUAUUUCGCAUUUUUUGCCGAUCCGCACACAUUGGAAUGUGGCUAACUCCUCCGAAGGCUUUCGUUCCACCGGCACCACAUUUGCUCAGGCCAAUCUACACCCCAUGGCCAUUAAAAGUUAUUCAAAUCAUGACGCUGCACCCCACGGUUUAGGUUCUAGGGGGCGCCAAAGAUAACCCUAAAAUCCACAUAUUUAAAAGUCUUGUAACUUUUUAUUUUUGUCCCCACUGGCCUCCAAGUUUUCUAGGAUGAUGCAAUGUCCAGCCAUCAACACAUUUGUGAAGGAAUUUUUACUCGCCAAAAGAGCGCCCCCCCAUGGCAGGAGAAAAAAGUCCAUUUUUUCUUGUCCACUAAGGUGAAAAUACACAUUGUUGAGUGCUACGCUUGUAUGUUUUGUCGUAUUGACACAAAAUUUUACAUACACGUGUAUUUCAAUAAGAUCUUCGAAAAAGUCAAUGGC